AUUGAACGCUGGCGGCAUGCUUUACACAUGCAAGCCGAACGGCAGCGGGGGCUUCGGCCUGCCGGCGAGUGGCGAACGGGUGAGUAAUGCAUCGGAACGUGCCCAUGUCGUGGGGGAUAACGUAUCGAAAGGUACGCUAAUCCCGCAUACGCCCUGAGGGGGAAAGCGGGGGAUUCUUCGGAACCUCGCGCGAUGGGAGCGGCCGAUGUCGGAUUAGCUAGUAGGUGAGGUAAAGGCUCACCUAGGCGACGAUCCGUAGCGGGUCUGAGAGGAUGAUCCGCCACACUGGGACUGAGACACGGCCCAGACUCCUACGGGAGGCAGCAGUGGGGAAUUUUGGACAAUGGGCGCAAGCCUGAUCCAGCCAUGCCGCGUGAGUGAAGAAGGCCUUCGGGUUGUAAAGCUCUUUCGGCCGGGAAGAAAUCGCGCGCUCUAACAUAGCGCGUGGAUGACGGUACCGGACUAAGAAGCACCGGCUAACUACGUGCCAGCAGCCGCCGUAA
This 503-nucleotide ribosomal RNA is filed under the name uncultured bacterium. RNAcentral's name for it is "partial 16S ribosomal RNA". It matches the Rfam family "Bacterial small subunit ribosomal RNA", at positions 28 to 523 of the family's 1533-position model. The record is from RNAcentral.